AUUGAACGCUGGCGGCAUGCCUUACACAUGCAAGUCGAACGGCAGCACGGGUGCUUGCACCUGGUGGCGAGUGGCGAACGGGUGAGUAAUACAUCGGAACGUACCUUAUCGUGGGGGAUAACAAAUUGAAAAAUUUGCUACUACCGCAUAAUACUCUGAGGAGACAAGCGGGGGAUUCGUAAUAAACUAGUGCGAUUAGAAGGGACGAUGGCUGAUUAGAUAGUUGGUGAGGUAAAGGCCCACCAAGGCAACGAUCAGUAGCAGGUUUGAGAGGAUGAUCUGCCACACUGGAACUGAGAAACGGUCCAGACUCCUACGGGAGGCAGCAGUGGGGAAUUUUGGACAAUGGACGAAAGUCUGAUCCAGCAAUGCCGCGUGAGUGAAGAAGGCCUUCGGGUUGUAAAGCUCUUUUGUCAGUGAAGAAAACUUUAGUAAUAACACUAUUAAAGCAUGACGGUAACUGAAGAAUAAGGACCGGCUAACUACGUGCCAGCCGCCGCAGUAA
Molecule: ribosomal RNA, 505 nt
Filed under: uncultured bacterium
Lineage: Bacteria
Description: partial 16S ribosomal RNA
Rfam family: Bacterial small subunit ribosomal RNA
Source: RNAcentral